This 3593-nucleotide long non-coding RNA is filed under the name Acyrthosiphon pisum (pea aphid). RNAcentral describes it as "uncharacterized LOC107882577". Lineage: Eukaryota; Metazoa; Arthropoda; Insecta; Hemiptera; Aphididae. The record is from RNAcentral.
AUUACUAUUAUUAUUAUUAAUUAUUAUAUUCCUGGAACUUAUUUUAUUACUAAAAUAAUAUUAUUACUAAACAAAAAAUUUUGUUGAAUUCGAGGCAAUUUUGAGCCACGAUAUUAUACUUACCGGCUACUUGCGAGGGCGCAUUUGUUGUCUCCGUCUUAAACACAUACGACAUGCCAAAAAAAAAACAUUAUCUAUAAUCAUAUCAUAUAAAAUGGCUUAAGGCCUUAAGCGCCGGCGAUUUUUCAAUAUUUUAAUUUUCAAGCGACAUAAUAUGGGUAUGUGAAAUAUUACAAAUUAAAAAUGUUCAUUUCUCACUAUCUACUGUUUUGCGGUAUUAGAUUUCAAUAAAAUUGAGUUGCACCAUAGAUAUUAACGACAUGGAUUAGAAAUAACGUAUGUCGUAUUCAUUGUGACUUGUCGGUUUUGCGGUCCAUCAUGGAUGAGAGAUCGAGGCCGUUUGCUUACUUUUUUAUACGUAUGAUUAUAUUAUUAUUCUAUGGUUGCACACACGGCUGCGUCGUGUGUCGUGUCGUGUCGAUCAAAUCGUAUUGUGAUUGGAUAUUACUUUUUUGCUAUCAUGUAAUAACCAAGUUGCAACCGAGUAUACCAAGAAUUGAAUACUGCUCAGCUUUUAAACCAUAUUGGUUACCAGUCGUAAUCAUAUAAUAACCAAGCCCUCGCACGACACAACACUCGACGUAAAUGUCGAAAUGUCACGUAAACUGUGAAUGCGCCUUUAAAAGAUAUAGGUACCUUAAGGUAUAUCUUAAACCGUGGUUGCUCACUUGCACGUCGGGCCCGGUAACCCUUUUACUCAUAGACCGGCCCAUCCUAUACCACGGACUAAGAUAGACUAUCUUAGUCCGUGUCCUAUACUAAAUACAUUGAUAGUCGCAUGCCAACAUUGCGCAGUGAUGCAGCCCAUUUAUGGAUCAGUGCUACCAUAAAAUCUUGAAUUCGGUGUAUUAAAAAAUAACUCAACUGGAUAACAGUAUUAUAAAAACGUGCGAAAACACUCAAAAACACUACGAGAUAAUAUUAUAUUAUAACAUUAUAUAACGAUUAUUUUUUUACCGUAUCAGAGUAACUCAGUAACCGAAAAGCGCCACCUAUCAUGACACGGCGGAAACGUGAAGAGGGCCGGUCUAUGAGUAAAAGGUCUAUGCCCGGUCACCACAUUACAGUGCUGCUAAUCAGGCCAGGAUCCAGCGGUCAGCCACACUGGCAUAAUGUUGGUAGUUCUCUCCGGUAAUUCCGGGUUCCCUGUCUUGCGAUUUUGUUGUUGUCGUAAUGUCGUUGUAAUGUUGUACUCAUGUACAAAACUUUAAACCGUCCGUACGCUGUACACGUCUGUGCCAACUGCUAAGCCGUUUAACCGUUCAUGGACACGAACACGAGUUCACACUUCACUGUUCUUCAAUCUUCAGUGGUUCACACGAGUACACGACACGAACACGAAGUCACGGAGUCUCUCCAGACGUGACAGACUGAUAUUUUAUCGCAGUUGAAGCUGACUAGUAAGACUGGUAAAAGUGGCUGCAGCACCACAAGGAACAGUCCAUUACCGCUGUCCCGGUCCUGGUCUAGAGAAAUCCUGUGGUCUGUGAAACUGCAGCAUCAACACCAAAUUAUGUAAGGAUAAUGGAUAUAUGUCUUUGAUAUUGAUAAAUCUCAUUGCACACGUUAUUUUCGGGAGGUCGUUGGAACCACAAACGCCAAAUGCUGUAAAGAUAUAUUUGUAAACAAAAACAUUCAAGUUUUUGGUAUUGAUAAAUCUAAUUAAGCAAAUUAUUAUCAGGAGGUAUAGUAGAACCACUACCGUCACCGGCCAACACUAAUCAAUAAAAAUUUUGUUUUUAUUAAUUGAUCUUAAACAUCGGUAACUGGUGAAUAGCAAUUUUGUGGGGAGAGGUUGGAAGUUUGGAACACAUGUAUAUGUGGGGCGAAGCACACAUUAUAGUGACUGCAGCCAACCACCGUGUCACACAAGCCCCCGAAAGAGAGGUUUAUUUAUUAACAAAAACAUGUUUUUUAUUUUAUUUCUUUUUCUUUUGAACUGAAUAUUUUUAUAUUUAAUAUUGUAUUAUUUUGUAUGUUGUAUAUUAUACCUAUUACAUGCGUGUACAGUUCGAAUGAUUUUUAAAUUUUUAUUGAUUAAUAUAUUCAUACAAUUACAGCUCAACAAAUAGAAAUUACGCGUCUGGACGUCUGGGGUGUAAAGAAGAACAAUAGGAUACUAUGGUAAGUAGUAAAACUGUUUGACAAGUUACCAAUGACUUUACCAACAGGUUCAGGGAUAUCUAGACAUUGUAGAACGGUAUGAGUCAACUUAUCCUAUGGAUAAAUUUAACUAAGAGUUAUCUAUAGGUGGUAGAACCGGCCCUAAGUCAUUUAAAUAGAAAAUUGUGUGAAAAUAAAAUCAUACUUUUUAUUUACCAAUAAUAUUAUUAUAUGAAAUAAUGUAAUAUUAAAACAUAAAAUCAGGUAAGUCGCAUAUAAAUGCUAAAAGGUUGCUGAUAAACUAAAUGAAAAUAUAAUAUACCUAAGGGAUUGAAAGGUAUAUGUGGAGAUUUACAUGUAACAAAUAGGUUAGGUUGGUUAUGCAUAUUAGGUAACUGCACAAGAAUGUUAAAUGCUACAUGUUUAGUGACUGUUUUGAUCUGUUUUACCGAAAAUUUGUUAAGUUUAAUUUGGUACAUUUCAAUAAAGGUUCAAGUAAGUACCUAGUAUUUUUUUUAUAAAUUUAAUUAAUUAAUUUAAAAAAAAUAUAUAUAUUAUUAAUUCUGAUUCCACCAUCGUUCAGGGGCGGCUCCAGAGACUUGGUUAGGGAGGGGCCAAGUUAUAAUUUCACAAAAUCUUAUAACAAAAAGAAACAACAAUUUUUACAACACAAAUUCAAGUCGUCUAUUUUUAGUCCAUUUACCUAGCAGGUACAUCGUCAUAACUCUAUGGCCCAUAUAGUCCAUAUGACAAUAUUAUAAUAAUUUAAUAUGCAUUUUUUGUUAACAAUAUACAUUUUUUAUAAAUACGGGCUUGGGGGGGUGCGGCCUCUAGGCCCCCCAACGUUUCAUAUUUCUAGAUCCGCUCCUGUUGCUAAUACACAUACAUUAUACACGGGGUAUAAUCCAUCAUGUUUUUACCGUUUGUAUUGUGAUAAGUAGGGCUCGGAAGUUGUAGAAGCUAAAAAAUGUAAAAUAUGCACGAAAAAAUUGCAAAAUAUAUAUUAAAAAUGUUAAAUAUGCGUAUAAAAUCAAUGAAAUAUGCACUUUUUUAGUUAAAAUUGGGGAAAUAUGCAUUUUCAAUUUUUUUAACUCUCAAUUGUAUGCCUACCUACUUCAAAUUUCUAUUUCUAUCUAAUUAGCUAGGUCUGCUAUAAAUUGAGAUCAUAUCAGAACAAUAAGUAUUUCGGCAUACUAGCAUGAUAGACUAAAUGCGUGUCACAAUAUCACUGUUAUUAACUCCGUAAUUGACUAUGGCGAUGACAAUAAAUACCUUCGUUGAUAAUUUUAAGUUUUAUAUUCAAUAUUAGUUGAAAUAUAAAGGUCAAGAAAGAAAAAAAUCAAUUUUUUUAGAAAAAUAUAAAAUGCAUA